GAUGAACGCUGGCGGCGCGCCUAACACAUGCAAGUCGAACGGUUAAAGCACCUUUUUGGUGUGUAUAAAGUGGCGAACGGCUGAGUAACACGUUGGCAACCUGCCCUCCUCUUGGGGAUAGCCUCGGGAAACCGAGGAUAAUACCCGAUACUUCAAUGUGGCCGCAUGACGACAUUGAGAAAGCUUUUGCGGAGAAGGAUGGGCCCGCGGCCUGUUAGCUUGUUGGUGGGGUAGAGGCCUACCAAGGCAAUGAUGGGUAGCUGGGUUGAGAGACCGACCAGCCAGAUUGGGACUGAGACACGGCCCAGACCCCUACGGGGGGCAGCAGGGGGGAAUCUUGGACAAGGGGCGGAAGCCUGAUGCAGGGACGCCGCGGGGGGGACGAAGGGCUUCGGGUUGGAAACCGCUUUCAGCAGGGACGAGGCGAUAAGUGACGGUACCUGCAGAAGAAGCCCCGGCUAACUACGUG
Molecule: ribosomal RNA, 469 nt
Filed under: uncultured bacterium
Lineage: Bacteria
Description: partial 16S ribosomal RNA
Rfam family: Bacterial small subunit ribosomal RNA
Source: RNAcentral